This 93-nucleotide transfer RNA is filed under the name Priestia megaterium. RNAcentral describes it as "Bacillus megaterium tRNA-Ser". It matches the Rfam family "tRNA". From Rfam's summary of the family: Transfer RNA (tRNA) molecules are approximately 80 nucleotides in length. The record is from RNAcentral. Lineage: Bacteria; Bacillati; Bacillota; Bacilli; Caryophanales; Bacillaceae.
GGAGGAAUACCCAAGUCUGGCUGAAGGGAUCGGUCUUGAAAACCGACAAAGGUGUCAAAGUCCGCGGGGGUUCAAGUCCCUUCAUCUACGCCA